Molecule: non-coding RNA, 712 nt
Organism: Ochotona princeps (American pika)
Lineage: Eukaryota; Metazoa; Chordata; Mammalia; Lagomorpha; Ochotonidae
Source: the annotation of a RefSeq genome assembly
UAGAGAAAAGUCGAGUUGAAGUUAGAAGUAGAUCUCCUGAGUGGAAAUUACAGGUCUACGGUUGAUCUUCACUAGAAAAAACAAUGAAGACAUCCAUUGUAAUUUCAUUCGUGUUCUUGUGGCUGCAGGUGGACUGGAUGAGCCGAGGAGAGAACGUGGAGCAGCGGCCUUCUACCCUGAGUGUCCAGGAGGGAGGCAGCUCCAUUAUCAACUGUACCUAUUCAGACAGUUCAUCAGACUAUUUCCCAUGGUAUAAACAAGAACCUGGGCAAGGACCCAAGUUCAUCAUAGACAUUCGCUCCAAUGCAGAGAUAAAGAAAAAUAAAAAUCUCACUGUUUGGUUGGAUAAGAAGGCCAAGCAUGUCUCCCUGCACAUCGCAGCCACCCAGCUCGGGGACUCAGCUGUCUACUUCUGCGCAGCGAGUGCACAUUGCUCCCCAGGCACCUGCGUCCUGUACCCAAACCUGUGACUGGGGCAGAGCCUCAACUCCUUUGCUUCUUCAAAUUAAGAUCCCUUUGUGGAAUGUGAUAUCACAGAUGACAGCCUAAUCUGCAGUGCCACAAAUAUUUGUCCCUAAGAAGUAUGCUAUGAUAAGCAAUGGGUCCUUAUUGUUUGUCGCAUUGUCCAGCAAUACCAUGAAGGCACUGGGUUAUUUUUACAUCCACACUUAAAUAAUAGUUAACCAUAGUUACCGCAUCUAUAAUCAGCUAU